RNAcentral lists this ribosomal RNA (173 nucleotides) under uncultured Anoxybacillus sp. Its description in RNAcentral is "partial 16S ribosomal RNA". It matches the Rfam family "Bacterial small subunit ribosomal RNA", at positions 1210 to 1382 of the family's 1533-position model. Lineage: Bacteria; Bacillati; Bacillota; Bacilli; Caryophanales; Anoxybacillaceae. The record is from RNAcentral.
UGGGCUACACACGUGCUACAAUGGGCGGUACAAAGGGUCGCGAACCCGCGAGGGGGAGCCAAUCCCAAAAAGCCGCUCUCAGUUCGGAUUGCAGGCUGCAACUCGCCUGCAUGAAGCCGGAAUCGCUAGUAAUCGCGGAUCAGCAUGCCGCGGUGAAUACGUUCCCGGGCCUU